This 440-nucleotide ribosomal RNA is filed under the name uncultured bacterium. RNAcentral's name for it is "bacterial SSU rRNA". It matches the Rfam family "Bacterial small subunit ribosomal RNA", at positions 339 to 796 of the family's 1533-position model. The record is from RNAcentral.
CUACGGGAGGCAGCAGUGGGGAAUAUUGGACAAUGGGCGCAAGCCUGAUCCAGCAAUGCCGCGUGAGUGAUGAAGGCCUUCGGGUUGUAAAGCUCUUUCGCCCGCGACGAUGAUGACGGUAGCGGGAGAAGAAGCCCCGGCUAACUUCGUGCCAGCAGCCGCGGUAAUACGAAGGGGGCUAGCGUUGUUCGGAAUGACUGGGCGUAAAGGGCGCGUAGGCGGCGGUUCAAGUCGGGCGUGAAAGCCCCGGGCUCAACCUGGGAACUGCGUUCGAGACUGGAUUGCUAGAGGUCGGGAGAGGGAAGUGGAAUUCCCAGUGUAGAGGUGAAAUUCGUAGAUAUUGGGAAGAACACCAACGGCGAAGGCAGCUUCCUGGACCGAUUCUGACGCUGAGGCGCGAAAGCGUGGGGAGCAAACAGGAUUAGAAACCCGAGUAGUCC